UUAUUGGAGAGUUUGAUCCUGGCUCAGGACGAACGCUGGCGGCAUGCCUAAUACAUGCAAGUCGAGCGGACUUGAAGAGAAGCUUGCUUCUCUGAUAGUUAGCGGCGGACGGGUGAGUAACACGUAGGCAACCUGCCCUCAAGUUUGGGACAACUACCGGAAACGGUAGCUAAUACCGAAUAAUUGUUUUCUUCGCCUGAAGGAAACUGGAAAGACGGAGCAAUCUGUCACUUGGGGAUGGGCCUGCGGCGCAUUAGCUAGUUGGUGAGGUAACGGCUCACCAAGGCGACGAUGCGUAG
Molecule: ribosomal RNA, 299 nt
Filed under: Paenibacillus xylanexedens
Lineage: Bacteria; Bacillati; Bacillota; Bacilli; Caryophanales; Paenibacillaceae
Description: partial 16S ribosomal RNA
Rfam family: Bacterial small subunit ribosomal RNA
Source: RNAcentral